UACGGGGGGGGCAAGCGUUGUUCGGAAUUACUGGGCGUAAAGGGCUCGUAGGUGGCCAACUAAGUCAGACGUGAAAUCCCUCGGCUUAACCGGGGAACUGCGUCUGAUACUGGAUGGCUUGAGUUUGGGAGAGGGACGCGGAAUUCCAGGUGUAGCGGUGAAAUGCGUAGAUAUCUGGAGGAACACCGGUGACGAAGGCGGCGUCCUGGACCAAUACUGACACUGAUGAGCGAAAGCCAGGGGAGCAAACGGG
This 253-nucleotide ribosomal RNA is filed under the name uncultured bacterium. RNAcentral's name for it is "partial 16S ribosomal RNA". It matches the Rfam family "Bacterial small subunit ribosomal RNA", at positions 524 to 776 of the family's 1533-position model. The record is from RNAcentral.